UGCCAGCCGCCGCGGUAAUACGGAGGGGGUUAGCGUUGUUCGGAAUUACUGGGCGUAAAGCGCGCGUGGGUGGUUUGAUAAGUCAGAUGUGAAAGCCCCGGGCUUAACCUGGGAACUGCAUUUGAAACUGUCUGACUGGAGUUUGGUAGAGGGAAGUGGAAUUCCGAGUGUAGCGGUGAAAUGCGUAGAGAUUCGGAGGAACACCAAUGGCGAAGGCAACUUCCUGGACUAAAACUGACACUGAGGUGCGAAAGCGUGGGUAGCAAACAGGAUUAGAGA
This 279-nucleotide ribosomal RNA is filed under the name uncultured bacterium. RNAcentral describes it as "partial 16S ribosomal RNA". It matches the Rfam family "Bacterial small subunit ribosomal RNA", at positions 506 to 784 of the family's 1533-position model. The record is from RNAcentral.